Non-coding RNA from Phoenix dactylifera (date palm), 198 nucleotides. The record is from RefSeq and is a predicted model, not a curated record. NCBI's taxonomy places the organism in Eukaryota, Viridiplantae, Streptophyta, Magnoliopsida, Arecales, Arecaceae.
UUGCAGAGUCGAGGAUGCCCUCUCCUUGGUAUACAUGCUACACCGAGCUUACAAUCUAAGCAGAAACUCUUCGUUGAUCAUGGAUGGCAGAGAGCUGUUGCAUGGGAUAUGCUGCAGAUAUAUAAUGAAUUUAUCGAAAUUCAAGAAAAACACAGGAUCGAACGGCUAGAGUUGUUUGAUGAGUUUGAAGAGUGGUAC